UACGUAGGUGGCAAGCGUUGUCCGGAAUUAUUGGGCGUAAAGCGCGCGCAGGUGGUUUCUUAAGUCUGAUGUGAAAGCCCACGGCUCAACCGUGGAGGGUCAUUGGAAACUGGGGAACUUGAGUGCAGGAGAGAAGAGUGGAAUUCCACGUGUAGCGGUGAAAUGCGUAGAGAUGUGGAGGAACACCAGUGGCGAAGGCGACUCUUUGGCCUGUAACUGACACUGAGGCGCGAAAAGCGUGGGGAGCAAACAGG
This 254-nucleotide ribosomal RNA is filed under the name uncultured bacterium. RNAcentral describes it as "partial 16S ribosomal RNA". It matches the Rfam family "Bacterial small subunit ribosomal RNA", at positions 524 to 776 of the family's 1533-position model. The record is from RNAcentral.